This 337-nucleotide ribosomal RNA is filed under the name uncultured beta proteobacterium. Its description in RNAcentral is "bacterial SSU rRNA". It matches the Rfam family "Bacterial small subunit ribosomal RNA", at positions 8 to 347 of the family's 1533-position model. The record is from RNAcentral. Lineage: Bacteria; Pseudomonadati; Pseudomonadota; Betaproteobacteria.
AGAGUUUGAUCCUGGCUCAGAUUGAACGCUGGCGGCAUGCUUUACACAUGCAAGUCGAACGGGGUUAAGGGGCUUGCUCCUUAAUCUAGUGGCGAACGGGUGAGUAAUGCAUCGGAACGUACCCGGGAGUGGGGGAUAACGCACCGAAAGGUGUGCUAAUACCGCAUAUUCUGUGAGCAGGAAAGCAGGGGACCUUAGGGCCUUGUGCUUCCGGAGCGGCCGAUGUCGGAUUAGCUAGUUGGUGAGGUAAAGGCUCACCAAGGCGACGAUCCGUAGCGGGUCUGAGAGGAUGAUCCGCCACACUGGGACUGAGACACGGCCCAGACUCCUACGGGAG